Long non-coding RNA from Chinchilla lanigera (long-tailed chinchilla), 511 nucleotides. RefSeq lists it as uncharacterized. NCBI's taxonomy places the organism in Eukaryota, Metazoa, Chordata, Mammalia, Rodentia, Chinchillidae. The record is from RefSeq and is a predicted model, not a curated record. The transcript has 3 exons.
UCUACAGUUUUGACAUUCCUUAGAUAUCAACAUUGACCACUGUCACCCUUAUUGCCAACUUAAUUGACAAGAACCCCUGAGAGGUGCCGGGGUGCCAAAGCAACAAGACAAGGGACCCAAUUUGCCCCUGAAAGUGACUGAUGCAUGGAGAUAAAGCGGUGGCACCAACUGGCACAAUUCCUACUAAACAGGUGCUCCUUGCUAGAGUACAUAGUGCUCCUUUUGUUUAAAGGAAGGAUGGACUAUUUACGUGUACAGAGAAUUCUGAAAGGAAAACCCGAGAACGUCUACAUCCGGGUCCUGCGAGGCGGUGAUGGGCUCCCAGGCCUUAGGCUGACUGCACUCUACUCCAUCUUAUUGAAAGCCUGCUCCAAUUCUUGGAGAAGUCCACGUUCAGAGUUUUGGGAACUGUUUUGUGCAUGUGUCCAGGACCUUGUAAAUAACAGGCCAUGCCUACUUCCCCAGCCAGGCUUUGCUAUGCCCUAAUUUCUUAUUUCUGUAUGAAAAGCAG